RNAcentral lists this ribosomal RNA (586 nucleotides) under [Galerina] alpestris f. annulata. RNAcentral's name for it is "eukaryotic LSU rRNA". It matches the Rfam family "Eukaryotic large subunit ribosomal RNA", at positions 82 to 650 of the family's 3401-position model. Lineage: Eukaryota; Fungi; Basidiomycota; Agaricomycetes; Agaricales; Kuehneromycetaceae. The record is from RNAcentral. RNAcentral also lists the same sequence under 1 other name.
AGUAACUGCGAGUGAAGCGGGAAAAGCUCAAAUUUAAAAUCUGGCGGUCUUUGGCUGUCCGAGUUGUAAUCUAGAGAAGUGUUAUCCGCGUUGGACCGUGUACAAGUCUCCUGGAAUGGAGCGUCAUAGAGGGUGAGAAUCCCGUCUUUGACACGGACUGCCAGGGCUUUGUGAUGCGCUCUCAAAGAGUCGAGUUGUUUGGGAAUGCAGCUCAAAAUGGGUGGUAAAUUCCAUCUAAAGCUAAAUAUUGGCGAGAGACCGAUAGCGAACAAGUACCGUGAGGGAAAGAUGAAAAGAACUUUGGAAAGAGAGUUAAACAGUACGUGAAAUUGCUGAAAGGGAAACGCUUGAAGUCAGUCGCGUUGGCCAGGGAUCAACCUUGCUUUUGCUGGGCGUACUUCCUGGUUAAUGGGUCAGCAUCAAUUUUGACCGUUGGAUAAAGNUUAGGGGAAUGUGGCAUCUUCGGAUGUGUUAUAGCCCUUGGUCGCAUACACCGGUUGGGAUUGAGGAACUCAGCACGCCGCAAGGCCGGGUACUUGUACCACGUUCGUGCUUAGGAUGCUGGCAUAAUGGCUUUAAUCGACCC